Molecule: ribosomal RNA, 293 nt
Filed under: uncultured bacterium
Lineage: Bacteria
Description: partial 16S ribosomal RNA
Rfam family: Bacterial small subunit ribosomal RNA
Source: RNAcentral
GGUCCUACGGGGGGCAGCAGUGAGGAAUAUUGGUCAAUGGCCGGAAGGCUGAACCAGCCAAGCCGCGUGAAGGACGAAGGUGCCAAGCAUUGUAAACUUCUUUUGUCGGGGAACAAAGGCGGAGACGCGUCUCCGGAUGAGUGUACCCGAAGAAAAAGCAUCGGCUAACUCCGUGCCAGCAGCCGCGGUAAUACGGAGGAUGCGAGCGUUAUCCGGAUUUAUUGGGUUUAAAGGGUGCGCAGGCGGGAGAUCAAGUCAGCGGUAAACUGUCGGGGCUCAACCCCUGCCGGCCG